Podarcis lilfordi (Lilford's wall lizard) is the source of this 72-nucleotide non-coding RNA. The record is from the annotation of a GenBank genome assembly. Lineage: Eukaryota; Metazoa; Chordata; Lepidosauria; Squamata; Lacertidae.
GGGCCAUAGCUUUGAUGGCAGAGUAUCUGCUUUGCAUGCAGAAGGUCCUAGGUUCAAUCCCCAGCAUCUCCA